GGCCUAACACAUGCAAGUCGAACGGUAGCACAGAGGAGCUUGCUCCUUGGGUGACGAGUGGCGGACGGGUGAGUAAUGUCUGGGAAACUGCCCGAUGGAGGGGGAUAACUACUGGAAACGGUAGCUAAUACCGCAUAACGUCGCAAGACCAAAGAGGGGGACCUUCGGGCCUCUUGCCAUCGGAUGUGCCCAGAUGGGAUUAGCUAGUAGGUGGGGUAACGGCUCACCUAGGCGACGAUCCCUAGCUGGUCUGAGAGGAUGACCAGCCACACUGGAACUGAGACACGGUCCAGACUCCUACGGGAGGCAGCAGUGGGGAAUUUUGGACAAUGGGCGCAAGCCUGAUCCAGCCAUUCCGCGUGAGUGAAGAAGGCCUUCGGGUUGUAAAGCGC
Molecule: ribosomal RNA, 392 nt
Filed under: uncultured organism
Description: bacterial SSU rRNA
Rfam family: Bacterial small subunit ribosomal RNA
Source: RNAcentral